RNAcentral lists this ribosomal RNA (383 nucleotides) under uncultured eukaryote. Its description in RNAcentral is "partial 18S ribosomal RNA". It matches the Rfam family "Eukaryotic small subunit ribosomal RNA", at positions 592 to 976 of the family's 1831-position model. The record is from RNAcentral.
CAAUGGCGUAUAUUAAAGUUGUUGCAGUUAAAAAGCUCGUAGUUGGAUUUCUGGUGGGAGCGACCGGUCGGCCCAAGUGGUGUGUACUAGUGUUGUAUCUGACCAUAUUUGCGGAGAGCGUGUGUGGCAUUAAUUUGUCGUGCUCGGGACCCGCAUCGUUUACUGUGAGAAAAUUAGAGUGUUCAAAGCAGGCUUAUGCCUUGGAUAUGUUAGCAUGGAAUAAUAAGAUAAGACUUUGGCGGUCUAUUUUGUUGGUUUGCACGCCAUUGUAAUGAUUGAUAGGGACAGUUGGGGGUAUUCAUAUUUAAUUGUCAGAGGUGAAAUUCUUGGAUUUAUGAAAGAUGAACUACUGCGAAAGCAUUUACCAAGGAUGUUUUCAUUAA